UACGUAGGUGGCAAGCGUUGUCCGGAUUUACUGGGCGUAAAGAGCGCGCAGGCGGUCGUUCAAGUCGCGUGUGAAAGCCCCCGGCUCAACUGGGGAGGGUCACGCGAUACUGAUCGACUGGAAGGCAGGAGAGGGUAGUGGAAUUCCCGGUGUAGUGGUGAAAUGCGUAGAUAUCGGGAGGAACACCAGUGGCGAAGGCGACUACCUGGCCUGUUCUUGACGCUGAGCGCGAAAGCUAGGGAGCAACGGG
This 250-nucleotide ribosomal RNA is filed under the name uncultured bacterium. RNAcentral describes it as "partial 16S ribosomal RNA". It matches the Rfam family "Bacterial small subunit ribosomal RNA", at positions 524 to 776 of the family's 1533-position model. The record is from RNAcentral.